CAAACGGGAAAGGAUUGUGCAGAUCUAAUAUAUCAUGCGUAAACUGUGGGUUUUCUUCUUCUGUAUGCAUUUCUACAGCUCCAUUCCUAAUAUCUUUUUAAAAUAGCACUUAAGGAUAAACUACACUUCAAAUGACACAUUAUGCUCCAUAGUGCAGUUGAGAACCAGCAAAUGUAACCAUUCUCAGGAAAGCUGGUUGGCAGAAAUUCCAACACUUUUUCAAGUAUGUAGAUAUCCACAGCUGAAGUCAACCCUGGAAAAUCAGUGAUUUUUUCUUUCCUUCUGAAUCAAUGAUCCCCUUGUUCUUUGUCAAAUCCUCACUUGUCGUGAUCCUCCUUGGUUGUCUCAAUCUCACACAAUAUUAGAAGAGUGCUCUGAAACAUUUUCUCUGUUGAUAGCUGAGGGAAAAUUGAGUUUACAGAUGGCAUUGCUAUACUGAUACUAUAUAAGAGAUGCUUUGCAAAGUGAUUCUAUAAACAUAUUCCAAAGAAGAGACUCUGAUAUCCCAUCAUCACCCUAAUGUAACCUUAACUGCCUUGAAAUGAGCUAAUGAAACUUUUGGGCAGGCCUUUUAGAGAGUACAUUUGCAUUUGACAUAAUUAGUGGUAGGCAGAUCUCACUACAUCCAGAGGGAAUCUCAAGACAACUGCUUUGUCGACUAUUAGUGCCUAAUUUCUGAAUGUCAAACCCUGCACAUCUUAAUUUCUAGAGAAUAAGCUCAAUUGAACUUGCUCCCCAGUUAUGCAAAAACUGCUCAGAUAAAACCAAGUGGACACCAAUGUAAUGAAUGUGGUUAUUAAAUUGUUUCAAUUGAAAGAACCCUAUUCUUACACCAUCAUAAUGGGAACAAUUUAUCCCCACUGAUCGGCCUGUCUCUCUCUUUCUCUCUCUCUCCCUCUCUCUCUCUUUUCUGAGCUCUCUUUGAUCUUGAAGCAUAUUGCGGUGGUGUGUCCUAUUGAAAAGCGAAACUGGGGCAAUUUUAAUGCUUUUGUACCUUACCAGUGCUCUAUUUUUUCACUGUUUAAAAAUAGCUGUUAAUUAUAAGUGCAGUUUAAAUGUCUCAAGUGACCCAGAAAUGCAGGUUGGAAUGAGACAGAUUGUGUGUCUCAUAUAAAACAGAUGUACUUUCACAGAGCAUUCUGAAUUCAGCCUUCGCUCUGUAUCCUCCUCUUGGGUUAUUUCAAUCAGGUAUUGAGCUGGUCUAGCACUGUGCUAUAAAAUCCUACACAUUUGAACAGGGAACAAGAAAAGUGGAUUUUUUUUUUAAUGACAAAGAAAAGCCUCUUUCAUGUUUGGUCACUACAACGAGAGCGAGUGUGCUGCUGUUGGUGAGGACGAUAGAACAAGGGCCAUUUUCCUGACCAGGAAGACCAUCCAGUUCUCUGGAGCUUCAUUCUGCUGUUUCUUGGAUUGGGGGACUCUGUUAAAAGAACACUGUAGUAGUGAUAAACAUGUCUGCUUGGGUCCUUCUUCAGCUUAUUCAAUAGUUCUCAAGGGCAAAUUAACUUCCUGCUGGUUUUUAAAUAUCUUUGACCCUUCACCCUUUUCAGAAACAGGUGUUUUUAAGCUCUUUGAUAACACUAGACCCUGGAGAUAGUGACUUUGCUGUUGAUGUUUUAGGUACUAAGGCUUUAACAAUCCAUGUGUUAACUCAAUAAAAAUCAUGUUAUCAAUCUAUUCUGCUAUGGUCUGAACAAAUCAUACUUACCCAAAUAUAGGUGUUUGUAUACAGUAGGUUUGAAGGUACUCCUCAGUCCUAGAAGUGAUUUCAAAGUUGUUUAGAAUAGAGUGCUAUCUAGUGGUUUCAUGAUUUUAUCCAGGUACCUCUAGAUCUUUGGUAUAUACUCUGAAGCCUCUUGAAUCCAAACAGUUGGAUACUCAAGACCCAUUUCCCUUCCUCUACCUUGACUCAGUCCUUGUGGUUCAUCCUCCAUUGCCAGUAGAGUGAGGCUGUCUCAGAAAAGGGAGGGCAGUUGAUGUGCACUGGUCUUCACCUGGAAAUGCCCAACAGGAGUUCUCUAUCACGGUGGCAGAAAUUUUCAGUCAUUUUAGUCAAGUUCUAAGCAUAGGCACUGAUGUGAACAUUUUUCAUAGGUAAUUUUCCAUUUUAAUCUAUAAAUUUUACUUAAUUGGUUGAUUUGAUUCAACCAUUCUAGUUUGUCCAGUAAGAUUUAUUCUACUUAGUGUUUACAAUUUGUCAGUGACAAUCUAAGGCACUUGGGUUAUGGUCUCAUUCUAAGCCAAUGGUUUCUCUUUAGAAGUGGGAAAAGGUAUGGCAUCAGAUAAUUUUCAGGCAAGUUAGCUACAUCAUAGAGAGUUGGUGUUGAAAACAAAUUUUAAAAAUUCUCAAA
Molecule: long non-coding RNA, 2351 nt
Filed under: Marmota monax (woodchuck)
Lineage: Eukaryota; Metazoa; Chordata; Mammalia; Rodentia; Sciuridae
Source: RNAcentral